RNAcentral lists this ribosomal RNA (497 nucleotides) under uncultured bacterium. Its description in RNAcentral is "partial 16S ribosomal RNA". It matches the Rfam family "Bacterial small subunit ribosomal RNA", at positions 35 to 507 of the family's 1533-position model. The record is from RNAcentral.
GGGGGGGGGGGGGGGGGGGGGGGGGGGGGGCGGGGCGGGGGAGCGGAUGGGGAGCUUGCUCCUGUGACGUUCGCGGCGGACGGGUGAGUAACACGUGGAUACCCUACCUAUAGGCCUGGGGUCACUUCGGGAAACCGGAGCUAAUACCGGAUAAUAUAUUGACCCGCAUGGUUCCAUAGUGAACGACGGGUUUGCUGUCACUUAUAGAUGGAUCCGCGCCGCAUUAGCUAGUUGGUAAGGUAACGGCUUACCAAGGCAACGAUGCGUAGCCGACCUGAGAGGGUGAUCGGCCACACGGGAACUGAGACACGGUCCAGACUCCUACGGGAGGCAGCAGUAGGGAAUCUUCCGCAAUGGGCGAAAGCCUGACGGAGCAACGCCGCGUGAGUGAUGAAGGUCUUCGGAUCGUAAAACUCUGUUAUUAGGGAAGAACAAAUGGGUAAGUAACUAUGCACGUCUUGACGGUACCUAAUCAGAAAGCCACGGCUAACGACGUG